Molecule: long non-coding RNA, 5168 nt
Filed under: Lactuca sativa (garden lettuce)
Lineage: Eukaryota; Viridiplantae; Streptophyta; Magnoliopsida; Asterales; Asteraceae
Description: long non-coding RNA (LSAT_LNC000198)
Source: RNAcentral
GUUGCGGAAUUUGUUCCCAGAAAAACAUGGUAAAUACGUUAUUAAAACAUUUUCGAAGAAACGUAUUUAUUUCAUUUUAAAACGUUUGGGAUGUCAUCGUUAAUACCGAAACAUAAGCAUAAACAGAACUUACAAUGAUUUACACUAGUGAUAUAUAUCUCUUUAAAUCUCUCAGUGUAAUGUCACUUCACUUCGUCACCUGUGAUAUACAUAAACUGAGUGGGUCAGGUUGGGAAACCUGGUGAGUACAUAGGGUUUUCAACCCACAAUAAUAUAAUUAUUAUGUUCAAUCAAACAAUCAACCCAAUUACCCAUCCCCAUUAUCUUCUUUACUCUUUAAGGAUUUAACCUAAGAGUCAUCUAUCCUGCAUUCGUUUAUUCCGAAGUCCCUUACUUCCAGGGUUAUGGGACUGGCACUAAAUCCAUAGCUGCCAAUGUUCGUUCAUAAAGCACUAAUUCCAUAGCUGCUAUAGUCUAUUCAUCGGGUACUAAAUCCAUAGCUACCAGUCUUUAUCUAAUAGGUACUAAGUCCAUAGCUACCAAUGUUCAACAGGUACUAAGUCCAUAGCUACCAAUUCCUACAGGUACUAAAUCCUUAGCUACCAGCGUCUAACUAAUAGGUACUAAGUCCAUAGCUACCAAUUCCCAACAGGUACUAAAUCCAUAGCUACCAACGUCUAAAAGGUACUAAGUCCAUAGCUACCGGUGUUUGUCCCAUAGGCACUAAGUCUAUAGCUGCCAAUGUAUACUCACGUCAUCUUCUAUCUCUCAUCAUUCAUCUACCCAUCUCAUACCCAACAUUUUCGUAUAUAUAAAAUACGUAUACAGUUUAAGUCCUUUAAAACAUGUAUAAAACGUUCAACCAGCAUAGACAGCAAGUAUUCAGAUAAUGUGCACACAUAGCACGUAGUUUAUAUAAAAUACUUCAUAUCUAUGUGUAAGAUGAAAGGGACUAUGCACUCACUUGAAAGGUGGUGAGUCGGCACUCGGACAGCACUUCGUUACUCUUAAAACAAUUAUCCCUUGACGAAACCUAGUAUCAUUACCACUAGAGUUUAGUCUAACGCUUGACGAGACUAAUUUAAUAGUCUAGCUAUUAUUACUAUUAUAUAAGCGUUAAAUAACACUCAAUAUAACUCAUAAUAAUAGCCUAAAUAAUUAUUUUAAGGUCCUAACAAUGUUACUAUAAUUAAAUAAAAUCUAUAUUAAAUAUACUAUAGGCGUAGCUCACUUACAGCGGGUUUUUAUUAAAAACCGGGCUUCGCUGGAGCAGCGUUUCCGAGCCGAAAGCUUUUCUUCUCGGAGCCGUCGGGCGCUCCGGGGCUUUCUUCUCGUGCUAGGGAGGUUCCGUAGACUUGGGAGGGGUUUAGGGAGGCUAGAGAGAAGUUAGAGAGAGAAAGAAAGGCUUAUGGUGUGAAGAAAAUAUGAGGAGUUCACCCUUGUAUUUAUAGGAAGUGUAUAGUAAAGUAGUCUCCAAGCUUCGUCCGUAACUUUUGCAUACGAGCUCCGUUUUUGUCUGUCUUUUUACUGUUGAGUUCCUAUUAAUGAGAUCUUCAACUUUCAUUUAGACCUCGUUGGCUAAUUCUCAUUCUAUCUCGGAUUUACAAAACUGUAUCAAAUUCGCCGCGCUCGAAAAGUAGGGACUAAGCUUCGUCCAUAACUUUCGCAUACGAGCUCCAUUUUUGUCUGUCUUUUUACCGUUGAGUUCCUAUUAAUGAGAUCUUCAACUCUCAUUUAGACCUCGUUGGCUAAUUCUCAUUCUAUCUCGUAUUUACAAAACUGUAUCGAAUUCGCCGCGCUCGAAAAGUAGGGACUAAGCUUCGUCCAUAACUUUUGCAUACGAGCUCUAUUAUCGACGUUCUUUAUAUCCACGCGUUGGUAUUUACGAGUACUACAACUUUCAUUUAGAUCCCGUCGGCUAAAAAUCGACCGAUCUAAAAUUCAGAUUUCGGGCUGUGCACUGCUAUGCUAAAUCUUAGAAAAAUCAUAACUUCCUCAUACGAAGUCAGAUUUGGGCGUUCUUUUUAUCGAUGUUCUUAGUUUAACAUAUUCUACGACUUUCGUUUAGAUCGCUAAGGCUAAAUCUCGCUCUAUCGUAAAUUCACUAUUUACGCUUCCCGGUAUCGUGCCGGUUCCGUCGCGAAACUUCAACGGGUCAUAACUUCUUCGUUAUAACUCGGUUUUCGGCGUUCUUUAUAUGUACGAAAACCUUGUAACAUACUCUACAACUUGAUUAAGAUUAUUUAUUCUAAAUAAUCUUUUGUCGAAAAGUCGUUUUCGACCCCUAUUGCCUCUAAUUUGACUAGCCCAGAUUUGCGGGCGUUACAAUUAUCUCCCCCUUAGGAUGAUUACGUCCCGGAAUCAUCAACGAAACAGGGUCGUAUAAUGACUCCAUACGUCAUCUCUUCAUCCUAGGUAAUAAUUAUAACUUCUACAUUCCUUCAAUUCUAUCUCUUAAACUCAUUGACUGUAAGAGUACUCGAUCGUGCACCUGCUCUCUACCUCAGGUUAGACUCCAAAUUAUGACCUUCAAGUCACAAUCUCGAUCCUUGCUGGAUACGGACUUGAGAUAAGUUCUUUUAUUACUACUAUAGAUCGAUGUGUCAUAUUCUAAUGACCUAUCAUCGUAUGUUGCAACACUUAGACUUAGGUCUCUUAGAGUUAAAUUCUAAAACAGACUAUGCCUUCCUUCAUGUUCUAAUGUGAUAUAAUCACACUUUAACAUUAGGCAUUUCUAGCCACCAACUUCUUUAACAACGAGUGCGAUACUUCUAUUGAUCGCUUUGAUUUCAACCGUUUGGUUUAAGUCGGACGCUACAUCAAACUUGGUUCUCUGAACCACACAACAUACUCAUCGUAGUCGGACUCGAUUCGAUAUGACCACUAGGGUCGGAAUAUCAACAAUCUUCUUAGUCAUUACCGAAACGAUGGUAACAACACACUUGAAUAAAACGAAAUCAAUUACUAGCUUCUUGGUAACCUUGUGACUUUCCCUGAUCCAAGUGUGAGUCCUGUGCUUCCGGUAGUAUAGGCCUCUACUACCAUUCACACCUACUCAUACUCGUCCCAAGUAUUGUCUCGCAGUUUCCCAAGUCACCAUGCAGCGAAUCAACUUAACACAUCAGAUAACGAAACAAAGGUUUUAUAUUAUUUCUUGAAAUGAUUACAUAGGUGUUCAAGUUCACCCUAGGCUAUGCCUCUAAUAGGCUACAUCAUACAAUACUAUGGCUACUGCAUAACUUGAUCUUCGGAUAUGAAGUCCUCAUCCUUGAUUCCUCGCACGGUUUUCUGCUUCGUCGAGGAUCAUGUGAAAUGCCCUUGGUUUCGGCGGUGCAUUUGGUCUUGCAGCUUCGUUUUUCUUUGGACAGUUCUUUGAAAUAUGCCCAUCAUUUCCACAUUCGUAGCACUUCUUGUUUUCGAAUGUACAAUCUCUGGAAUAGUGACCGGUCCUACCACACUUAUAGCACGUCACUUCACCAUCGCAUCUUCCGAAGUGUUUCUUCUUGCACUUCUCACACCACUUGGCUUCAUUCCUUCGGUCGUCCAGGUUAGACUUCGAGAACUUUCCCUUAUUAUCAGGUCUUGAGGAUCCUUCCGACUUCCUCUUCUCACCAACUUCAACUUUCUCCAGACCCUUUUCCCUUAUUUGGGUCUCAACAUUCUUGGCUGCCCAGAUGGCGGCUUUCAAAGUGGUUGCUUGUUUGACCAUUGGACCAAAGUCUGCUGGUAAUCCAUGGGCAAACUUAUUGACCUUGGAGAGUUCAGUUGGAACUAGAUAAGGAACAAGCUUCAUUUUCUCCGUAAAACUUGCAGCAUACUCGAUGACACUCAUCUUUCCCUUCUUUAGAUUCUGAAACUCGUUGUUGAUUUCCAGAAGAUCCUGUUCAGAGCAGUACUGCAUUUUUAGCUGCACCAGAAAAUCCUCCCAUGACAUCUUGUUCGCUUCUCCUUUGGGCAUCGAAUCAGCUAGUAGCUUCCACCAGCUUAGUACUCCAGAUUUCAACAGAGGAACCGCGAGAGCGGUCUUUUGCCUGUUGCUACACUCACAACUCUCAAACAUCGUCUCCAUCUCGGAGAUCCAGUUUAUGACUUCCACCGGCGUCGGGCUUCCAGAUAGACUCGGUGGUUUGGACGCCAUGAAAUCCUUGUAUUUGCAUCCACGUCCAUCAUUUCCUCCAUCCUGGUGGUUUUGCUUAACCAUUGGUGGGUUGGCUUGACCAACAGUCCCACUGUAGUUUCCCUCCUCAGUCUGCCCCUCGUUCAACUCGGGCCGUUCGAUCUGAAUGGUCGCUUCCUCUCGAUUUUGCUGGAGCAAACGCCUGGUUUCCUCCAUUUGACGAUCCAACAUCGCUUGGAUCAUCGCUUGCACUCCGGCCAUUGUGACUGGCUCAGCAGUGGCUUCCAUCACCGGUAUUUGCUCAAUCACUGGGGGUUGGUUUCUGUUCCCAUUUGCAUUUACGUUUCCGCUACGGGUUCUUACCAUCUUGAUCUAUACACCUAAUGAGGUGAAUCUAGACCUUUACUUAGGAUUGACGUUUAAAUCAUCCUUAUCACUCCGAAACGUUUACAUGCUAGUUCUAAUAUCGUAGUCGUACGUUUAGAAUCCUAAACACAUAAGGUUUCCAGAUCCGGUCGGCAACAGACCAUAGAUCCGAUCAAACUAUAGCAUAACAAAUCAUUUAGCACAUAAAAGCAAUUUAGGCAUCAUUCCUAAAAUAAGCUAGUGCUCACACCUCACAAUCAUCGCUUAGCAUUCUAAGUUUAAGUCUAGAAAUAAAUCCAUAUUCCUAGUUCGCUUAAACUAAUGCUCUGAUACCAACUGUGACAUCCCCAAAAUCACGGCCAGAAAAGACCGAUUUUGUUUAUGCUUUAUAAAAAUCAGAGUACUUCAUUUUAUAAAAAUGUUGCGGAAUUUGUUCCCAGAAAAACACGAUAAAUACGUUAUUAAAACAUUUUCGAAGAAACGUAUUUAUUUCAUUUUAAAACGUUUGGGAUGUCAUUGUUAAUACAGAAACAUAAGCAUAAACAGAACUUACAAUUAUUUACACUAGUGAUCUACAUCUCUUUAAAUCUCUCAGUGUAAUGUCACUUCAUAUCGUCACCUGUGAUGUAAAUAAACUGAGUGGGUCAGGUUGGGAAACCUGGUGAGUACAUAGGGUUUUCAACCC